UACGAGGGAUGCAAGCGUUAUCCGGAAUUAUUGGGCGUAAAGCGUUUGUAGGCGGGCGAGUGUGUUUAAUGUUAAAUCUUAAAGCCCAACUUUGAAAUUGCGUUAAAAACUGCUUGUCUUGAGUAUGGUAGGGGUAAAGGGAAUUCCCAGUGUAGCGGUGAAAUGCGUAGAUAUUGGGAAGAACACUAAACAGCGAAGGCACUUUACUAGGCUAAUACUGACGCUGAGAAACGAAAGGUAAGGUAGUGAAACGGAUUAGAUACCCGUGUAGUCUUACCCGUAAACUAUGGACACUAAACGGUAAAUUUUUAAUUUACUGUUAAAGCUAACGCGUUAAGUGUCCCGCCUGGGGAGUAUGCUUGCAAAAGUGAAACUCAAAGGAAUUGACGGGGGCCCGCACAAGCGGUGGAGCAUGUGGUUUAAUUCGACGGUACACGAAGAACCUUACCAGGAUUUGACAUGCUAGAUAGUUGCUUGAAAGAGUAACGUGCCGUAAGGAAUCUAGACACAGGUGGUGCAUGGCUGUCGUCAGUUCGUGUUGUGAAAUGUUGGGUUAAGUCCCGCAACGAACGCAACCCUUGUCUUUAGUUAUUUUCUAAAGAGACUGCCUGUAAUAAACAGGAGGAAGGUAAGGAUGAGGUCAAGUCAUCAUGCCCCUUAUGUCCUGGGCUACACACGUGCUACAAUGGGAAAGACAAUGAGCUGCAAAUCUGUAAAUUUAAGCAAAUCUCUUAAACUUUCUCGUAGUUCGGAUUGUGGGCUGCAACUCGCCCACAUGAAGUUGGAAUCGCUAGUAAUCGCCAGUCAGCUAUAUGGCGGUGAAUCCGUUCCCGGGCCU
This 838-nucleotide ribosomal RNA is filed under the name uncultured bacterium. Its description in RNAcentral is "bacterial SSU rRNA". It matches the Rfam family "Bacterial small subunit ribosomal RNA", at positions 524 to 1381 of the family's 1533-position model. The record is from RNAcentral.